CACAAAUUCUCAAUCUUAACGAAAUUUGGACUUUUGGAAAUUUGAACUUAACACAACUCUAAAGGUUAAUAAAAUUACUAUUUUACAGGUUAUCAACAUGAGAAACAGAUUUUGAGUAAUUAUGCCAAACUCAGAAAUUCAGUAUGUUAGAAUUUAGUAUCUCCAUGGCCUAGCUUCAUGAGUCACAGGACUUCUUCUCAAGUCCAGAUGAAAACUUCACUGCUUUUACAGUAAAUUUUAAAAGAUUAUUGGUAGAUAUAGGAAGACAGGCUCAUUUGUUUUUAUGAAACUCUCCUAGUUUUAUUCCUAACUAUGGAAAGCAAUCAAAACCUUUGUAGGUGUGAAGGGAAGAAAUGAGAUAUGAGUCCUGUUUCCUGAAAGCCCAUUUCUUUUUCUCAAUCAACCCCACCAGGUGAACAGUACAGAGUAAAGGCUUUUACAAUAAGCCUUUGUCAUUGCACAAGUCGGAUAGUGUGGUGCAGGCAGUUCCGAGGUUGGGUGAUUCCGAGGCUGGAGAAAUCCGUUUCAGCUAUCUCAUGCAGAGUCAAUACUGUCCAUGGAAAAUGGAAAACUUUGGGGAAUUACAGCAGAUUCUAGCUCAGAUCUUUUCUGCAGGAGCUGGGUAAUGUCCACACUGAAACCACCAGCGGGUAGGAAAUGAGGAUCCCCACUGGGUUCAUAUCACUCAUCAUUCCCUCCAGGAAACAGGAGAGAGAGUGCCGGUCUGCCUCACCUGAGAACAUUGGGAAUAAAAGAUACACAGUGUGUGGCCUGACUGCUGGUAGAAGUGGGACAGUUUCCGCAACAGACACUGGCAAUGCUACGUCUCAGGCCAAGGGAAGGUCCUGCCAAGGAAAUAUUUAAUAUUCCAGAAUCUUGUUCUUGGAUUCAACGUGAAAAUAUUGCUCACCUGAAACUCAUCAAUCUGAGACCCAAGGGAUGCCAAAGUCCCUGUCAUCUGCUCAUUAAGCCAAGGGCAUCACACAAAGGCCUACUUCUAACACCUCCUGAAUCUUAAUGAGAGAGAGUAUUGAUCUCUACAAUUUAUGAUCCUACGGCAGUGGGGUGGCUUUUCACACGUGGAACCUCCUCACUUGUGCUCAAUGACUUCGAAAAACACCUCUAGCGCGGGCUGGAUAUAGUAUCCGCGAGCCGAGGGUUUUCUCGGUUUCUUCGUUCUCUGGCCUUAAAGGUAAGGUGCCGGGCGCUGAAAGAGGCGGCCACCGCAGCGGAUUUCACCGCGGAGGGCCGGGCGCGGGGAGCCGGUGGCCCAGCUGCUGCGGAGGCCCCACCUGUGCGUCCCUCCAAUCCUUCCCUG
This 1318-nucleotide long non-coding RNA is filed under the name Bos grunniens (domestic yak). RNAcentral describes it as "lncRNA (ENSBGRG00000007285.1)". The record is from RNAcentral. Lineage: Eukaryota; Metazoa; Chordata; Mammalia; Artiodactyla; Bovidae.